Molecule: non-coding RNA, 100 nt
Organism: Saccoglossus kowalevskii
Lineage: Eukaryota; Metazoa; Hemichordata; Enteropneusta; Harrimaniidae
Source: RefSeq, marked provisional
UCAUAACUGAGACCAUACCUAUGGCUACAGCACGGUUGUAUCAAUGCUGCUAACUGUGAUUGAGCUUCCUUGCUGUAGACAUGGGUAGGCCUUCCACAAC